This 113-nucleotide ribosomal RNA is filed under the name Neogale vison (American mink). Lineage: Eukaryota; Metazoa; Chordata; Mammalia; Carnivora; Mustelidae. The record is from RNAcentral.
GUCUACGGCCAUACCACCCUGAACGCGCCGAUCUCCUCUGAUCUCGGAAGCUAAGCAGGGUCGGGCCUGGUUAGUACUUGGAUGGAAGAAUAUAAUUCACUCAGGUAUAUACC